RNAcentral lists this ribosomal RNA (480 nucleotides) under uncultured bacterium. RNAcentral's name for it is "bacterial SSU rRNA". It matches the Rfam family "Bacterial small subunit ribosomal RNA", at positions 28 to 531 of the family's 1533-position model. The record is from RNAcentral.
GACGAACGCUGGCGGCGUGCCUAAGACAUGCAAGUCGAGCGAGGGAACUUCGGUUUCCGAGCGGCGGACGGGUGAGUAACGCGUGGGUAACCUGCCCUUCAGCCCGGGAUAACUGCCUGAAAAGGUGGCUAAUACCGGAUGCGGUGAUGAGGUCGCAUGAACUGAUCACGAAAAUUACGGUGCUGAAGGAUGGGCCCGCGUCCCAUUAGCUAGUUGGUGAGGUAACGGCCCACCAAGGCGACGAUGGGUAGCCGGCCUGAGAGGGUGGACGGCCACACUGGGACUGAGACACGGCCCAGACUCCUACGGGAGGCAGCAGUCGGGAAUCUUCCACAAUGGGCGAAAGCCUGAUGGAGCGACGCCGCGUGAGGGAAGAAGGUCUUCGGAUCGUAAACCUCUGUCCUCAGGGACGAUGAUGACGGUACCUGAGGAGGAAGCCACGGCUAACUACGUGCCAGCAGCCGCGGUAAAAUGCGUACU